RNAcentral lists this ribosomal RNA (431 nucleotides) under uncultured bacterium. RNAcentral describes it as "bacterial SSU rRNA". It matches the Rfam family "Bacterial small subunit ribosomal RNA", at positions 29 to 506 of the family's 1533-position model. The record is from RNAcentral.
GCGAACGCUGGCGGCAGGCCUAACACAUGCAAGUCGAACGAACCCUUCGGGGUGAGUGGCGGACGGGUGAGUAACACGUGGGAACGUACCCUUUGGUUCGGAACAACACAGGGAAACUUGUGCUAAUACCGGAUGUGCCCUUCGGGGGAAAGAUUUAUCGCCAUUGGAGCGGCCCGCGUUGGAUUAGCUAGUUGGUGGGGUAAAGGCCCACCAAGGCUCCGAUCCAUAGCUGGUCUGAGAGGAUGAUCAGCCACACUGGGACUGAGACACGGCCCAGACUCCUACGGGAGGCAGCAGUGGGGAAUCUUGCGCAAUGGGCGAAAGCCUGACGCAGCCAUGCCGCGUGAAUGAUGAAGGUCUUAGGAUUGUAAAAUUCUUUCAGCAGGGACGAUAAUGACGGUACCUGCAGAAGAAGCCCCGGCUAACUUCGU